GGGGUCGUGGCGCAGUCCGGCUAGCGCGCUUGCCUGUCAAGCAAGAGGCCGCGGGUUCAAGUCCCGUCGACCCCGCCA
Molecule: transfer RNA, 78 nt
Filed under: bacterium
Lineage: Bacteria
Description: tRNA-Asp
Rfam family: tRNA
About the family: Transfer RNA (tRNA) molecules are approximately 80 nucleotides in length. Their secondary structure includes four short double-helical elements and three loops (D, anti-codon, and T loops). Further hydrogen bonds mediate the characteristic L-shaped molecular structure. tRNAs have two regions of fundamental functional importance: the anti-codon, which is responsible for specific mRNA codon recognition, and the 3' end, to which the tRNAs corresponding amino acid is attached (by aminoacyl-tRNA synthetases). tRNAs cope with the degeneracy of the genetic code in two manners: having more than one tRNA (with a specific anti-codon) for a particular amino acid; and 'wobble' base-pairing, i.e. permitting non-standard base-pairing at the 3rd anti-codon position.
Source: RNAcentral